Molecule: long non-coding RNA, 7993 nt
Filed under: Phaseolus vulgaris (common bean)
Lineage: Eukaryota; Viridiplantae; Streptophyta; Magnoliopsida; Fabales; Fabaceae
Description: long non-coding RNA (PVUL_LNC000057)
Source: RNAcentral
GUUUAUACCAUUCCCAUUGCUGGGAGAAGUAAACAUUGAAAUAGAUCUCUUAUAAAGACUUAGCAUUUGAAUUCGUUAUCAUUACUCAAAAAUUUAGUAAUAAUAGUUACAAGAUCGAGAAGAUGCCCAUUGUACAAAAAUGUCUCUAAUAAUCUAUGUUAGACUCCUAAAGUGAGAUCUAUUGUCCCUUGAAGCAAGAAAUUGUAUGUUGGAAAACAUCUUCACUGCAAGGAAUUGUGAGGCCACCCAUCGGAUGAUCAUGUCCAAACUCUUCCUCAGCUUGACUCAAUAAGUCUUGGAAUGAAGGUUGGUUCAAGUAUGAAAUGGAAAUCACAAACCGUUUUUGUUUCUCUCCAACAUACACAGCAAAAUAGCCCUUCGGUAUGUCUUCAGAUUUUGAAGAUGCUUGUCUUGCUGUCACUGAUGCCCGUCGGAUGGAAGGUAAACGGAAACCCAUUUUUUGAGUUUGUUUGAAGAAAGAAGAACAAUCUCAAAUUUACAGAGAAUGAACCUAAAUUUUGAUGCUUGAGGAUUACAAAGGCUUGUGUUGUUUUUGAAGGUAUAGGAUAGUGUAUAUAUAGCUGUUAAAAGAAGGAGGGCAUAGAGAUGAGAUAUCACGUGGUGAUGUUUUCAGUAUUUCUAUAAAGCAUAAAGAAGGGUACAGGAGUGUAACCCCACCUUGUUCAACAACAGGCAACAUUAAGCCUCCACAUGUACCCAAUGAAACGUGGCUAAGUGAAGGCCUAAAUUUCUUCAUGCAUUAAUUGGUAUUACAUAUUUUGCAAAACAUGCUUUGGACAUGUUUUCUUCACUUCACCUAAUGUUGAAGAACAGCUGGAUAGAUGAAAUUAUAAGGAAAUGGACAGCGAGAGAUGAUAGACCAUUAUAUUCAUGAGAUUUGAAAUCAUAAGUCUAAUCUAUUUCAGGUGAAUUGGCUUGAGAUAGUGUACUAUCGACUGUAACAUCUCCCAUUACUCCCUAAGAAACACAUUCAAGGCAACACCAUGUGCCCUUUCUGUUCUAUCGGUCCCAUGACUCUUAUCACAUAGCCCUUCACUCUCAAUCAUUCAAGUAGCCGACGAUAUCCUACAAAAACUUUCAUCUAUAUAUAUAUUCUAGGCUGCAAGCGUUUGGGACAACAAAAAUCAUUUCCUAAACCAUUUUAACUUCACAAACUAUCAUCUUAUUUGCAACUCUCUUUUCUCAACUUUCUCUUCCCAAGUAUCAACAUAUAAAACAUGGGUUUUCAUUUACGUGGUAUCAGAAAGGCAUCCCUUCCUGCAAUCCAAGCCUUUUCAAAAGUUGUGAACGUGCCAAAGGGUUACAUUGCAGUUUAUGUUGGAGAUAAAAUGAAGCGGUUCAUCAUUCCUGUAUCAUACUUGAACCAACCUUCAUUUCAAGAUUUGUUGAGUCAAGCUGAGGAAGAAUUUGGGUAUGAACAUCCAAUGGGUGGUCUCACUAUUCCUUGUGGAGAAGAUGUGUUCUUAGAUAUAACUUCUCGUUUCAAUAGGUGCUAAUUGCGUGAAGAUGAGACUGACUUAGAUGUAGACUAUACUUGACACAGUUUUGUAUCGUAGUUUUAGCCUUGAAAAUAUCCCCUCUUGCCAUUUUUGUUAUUUGUUUAGACAAGUGUAAAAGAAUGUUAAUCUGAAUGAGAAGUUUUCUACAUGAUGUUUCUUAGCACAUUUUCUAUAAAUCUGAUUUAUAUAUCACAUUUUCUCUUUAUCUAUCGAUAAGAUUUAAAUUAAACUAUUAACUCCACAUUUUAUAACAAAAUUAAUUAAAAAAACUACUUAGAAGAGAUAAGAAGAUAAGUUUAAAACAAAACGAGUGAUGUAACAGCAGAGAAAUAAAGCUAAGCAUAUGGCUGACUAAUUCAAUAGUAGUUGGGGUGAGGAGGUUGAGAGAGAUUUGUGUGUAACGUGUGGGGAGCUAACCGAAACAGUGAGCCACUUAUUAUUUAGUUGUAAGUAUGCAAUUCAAGUAUGGAAUUUGUGUAAUAAGUGGGUUGGGAUAACCUCUGUUUCGCAAAAUAUAUUAUAAAUUUGUCCGUCAUAAAUUGAUGCUUUUCGUUGACCAUAGCAAAACAUUUUUCUUUAGCUGUAGGGUGGCUGGUAGGAUCUGGCAAGGGUAGGAAGAUUCUCAGUUUAUCAUAAUAGGGCUUAUGUACACUUUAACCAAUAUGAAAUUAUUGGUAUGAACAACACUGUUAAUAAGAUUUGGAGGAACAUGUGGAUGGCUAUUGUUUGGAGGAUAUGGACUCGUAGAAAUAACAUAAUCUUUAGAGGUGGAAUUUUAGAUUCAGAAGAGGUUUUGCAUUGGCACAGAUCAUGACAUGGGCAUGACAACAGUUGUUUUUCAUAUUCUGAUUGGUGCCUAAAUCCAAUUGGAUGCCUGCAGUCUGUCAAAAAGGGCUAGUCUGUUAAAAAGGGUUGAAAUUAAGUGUUUAGAUAUUGGUACAGGGAUACCUGCAAAUUCUCAGUAAUUGUUACAUCAAUAUACAAGGAGUAAGUCUGCAUGUUAUGACCUUCUAUUUGCUUUGUUUAUGUGUUUCUUUUUAGUGCUCAGGUAUGCAUCUGUAUUGAACACACAGUGCAAAUUAACAUUGGAGUCCACGGGAGAUGAAACAAUUGUUGUUGAAGUUUCUCUCUAACCACAUGACAACCAAUGUCAAUGUGUUUAGUAUGUUUAUGGAAGCUGCUAAUUGUGCUAUAUUUCUUGCAGAUUGACUGUCAUAGAACAGGCUAGCUGCGUUGCAAGGUGCAAUGUGCAGAUCUUCAAGCAAGUAGACGAGCCACUCUAUCUUACUGUAGGUGGAGGCUAAAGCCCGAUACUCCGUUGUAUCUGGAAGUUAUUAAUGACCCAAAGUCGAAAAAGGUAAUGGAGGAAGAGGUGUAUAUGAUUGAGAAGAACAAAACUUGGAAGCUUGUUGACAUACCUCGAGAUUGAAAGGUACAUCAAAUGGAUGUCAAGUCAAUAUUUCUAAAUGGAUUUCUUGAACAAGAAAUUUCAGGUUUCAUUGGGGAAGGAAGAGAAGACAAAGUUUAUAAGUUGUCUAAAACCAUUUAUGGCUUAAAAGAUGUUCCCAGAGCAUGGUAUUAUCUUAUCAGGCUUAGGCUUUGAUAAAAGUCUUUUAAAAGGUGUUGAAUGGAGAUUAAGCAAAGUGAGGAUGAAAAAAAAAAUUGCAUAUUUGUUUACCAAGUCACUUCCAGCCAACAAGUUUGAGUUCUCAAUACAGAAGAUUGAAAUUUGCAGUUCAAAAAAUCAAAGAGGAGUGUUGAAUGUUGUGUUUUUUAACUGCAUAUAAAUGCACAUAAGUGCACGUGAUAUUUUAUUCUUCUGUUUUAAUUAUGUUUUAAUUGCUGAUUUAAUAUUUCUAGGUAUCUGGUCAUAAAAUCAUUUAAGAGUCAGUACUCCAGAUACUGUAAAUGUAAUUGUUAGCACAGAUAAUAAAAUAUCUUCCUCUAAUUUAUUCUUAAAAAAAACCAACAAUCUCAUCCUCUUACAAAAUGGAAACUGUGAUUUGUAGAAUCUAUAUAUGGACAAAAGAAACCUUACAUCAACUGCAUAUGAAAUUUUUAUAACAAAGGAUCUUAUCCAUUGAAAUCAAUGGGUACAACACGGCUUAAUUUUAAGCAUAUUAUAACUGUCUCGGCUGGGGAAAAAUCCGCUAGUGUAAAAAACUAAAAAACCUUUCAAACCCGUUAUGAGUAUAGUGGAGUCUUUUAGGUGUUGUAUACCAUUCCAAUUGCUGGGAGUAGUAAACAUUGAAAUACAUAAAUAGAAAGACUUAGCAUUUGAAUUCGUUAUCAUUACUCAAAAAAUUGGUAAUAAUAGUUACAAGUUCGAGAAGAUGCCUAUUGUACAAAAAUGUCUCUAAUAAUCUAUGUCAGUCUCCUAAAGUGAGAUCUAUUGUCCCUUGAAGCAAGAAAUUGUAUGUUGGAAGACAUCUUCACUACAAGGAAUUGUGAGGCCACCCAUGGGAUGAUCAUAUCCAAACUCUUCCUCCGCUUGACUCAGUAAGUCCUGGAAUGAAGGUUGGUUCAAGUAUGAGAUGGGAAUUACAAACCGAUUUUGUUUCUCUCCAACAUACACGGCAAAAUAGCCCUUUGGUAUGUCUUCAGAUUUUGAAGUUGCUUGUCUUGCUGUGAAUGAUGCCCGUCGGAUGGCAGGUAAACGGAAACCCAUUUUUUGAGUUUGUUUGAAGGAAGAAGAACAAUCUCAAAUUUACAGAGAAUGAACCUAAAUUUUGAUACUUGAGGAUUACAAAGGCUUGUGUUGUUUUUGAAGGUAUAUAGGAUAGUGUAUAUAUAGCUGUUAGAAGAAGGAGAGCAUACAGAUGAGAUAUCGCGUGGUGUUGUCUUCAGUACUUCUAUCAAGCAUAAAGAAGGGUACAAGUGUGUAACCCCACCUUGUUGAACAACGAACAACAUUAAGCCUCCACAUGCACCCAAUGAGAUGUGGCUAAAUGAAGGCCUAAGUCUCUUCAUGCAUUAAUUGGUAUUACAUAUUUUGUAAAACAUGUUUUGGACAUGUUUUCUUCACACUACCUAAAAUUGAAGAACAGCUGGAUAGAUGAAAUUAUAAGGCAAUGGACAGCGAGAGAUGAUAGACCAUUAUAUUCAUGAGAUUUGAAAUCAUACGUCUAAUCUAUUUCAGGUGAAUUGGCUUGGGAUAGUGUACUAUCGACUGUAACAUCUCAUAUUAAUCCCUAAGAAACACUUCCAAGACAACACCAUGUGCCCUUUCUGUCUUAUCGAUCCCAUGACUCUUAUCUCAUAGCCUUCCACCCUCAAUCAUUCAAGUAGCCGAUGAUAUCCUACAAAACAUUUCAUCUAUAUAUAUUCAAGGCUCUAAGCCUUUGGGACAACAAAAAUCAUUUCCUAAACCAUUUUAACUUCUCAAACUUGCAUCUUAUUUGCAGUUCUCUUUUCUCAAUUUUCUCUUCCCAAGUAUCAACAUAUAAAACAUGGGUUUUCAUUUACGUGGUAUCAGAAAGGCAUCCCUUCCUGCAAUCCAAGCCUUUUCAAAAGUUGUGAACGUGCCAAAGGGUUACAUUGCAGUCUAUGUUGGAGAUAAAAUGAAGCGGUUCAUGAUCCCUGUAUCAUACUUGAACCAACCUUCAUUUCAAGAUUUGUUGAGUCAAGCUGAGGAAGAAUUUGGGUAUGACCAUCCAAUGGGUGGUCUCACUAUUCCUUGUGGAGAAGAUGUGUUCUUAGAUAUCACUUCUCGUUUCAAUAGGUGCUAGUUGCAUGAAGAGACUGACUUAGAUGUAGACUCUACUUGACACAUUUUUGUAUCUUAGUUUCUGACCAUCAAAAUAUCUCCUCUCUCUCAAUUUUUGUUAUCUUGUUUAGGCAAGUGUAAAAAAAUGUUAAUCUGAAUGAGAAGUUUUCUACACGAUGUUUCUUCCCAAAUGUUCUAUGAAUCUGAUCUACAUAUCCCAUUUUCUCUUUUUCUAUCAAUCAGAUUUAAAUUAAACUAUUAACUCCACAUUUUCUUACAAAAUUAAUUAGAAAAACUACUUAGAAGAGAUAGAAAGAUAAGUUUAAAAUAAAAUGAGUGAUGUAACAGAGAAAUAAAGCUAAGCAUUGAUGAAAAUUAUAUGCUUUUGUUAACCUGAACUGCUUUGGUUUGACCUGGCUCCAAGUGAUUUGUGAACAUCUCUGGUCACUUGAAUAUUGCCUGACAGGAGAUUAAAUUCAUAAAAUUCUGUCACCAACCUAUGAAGGAGGCCCAAUUAGGCAGCAUCACCAUCUUUCCAAGAUGAAGUUUGUUGGUCUUACGGCCUCAAUAUAUGAUAUGCUGGUUUUUGGCUCAGUAAUUGAAUAGCAGUGGAGUUUGAGAGUGAUUUGUGUGUAACGUGUGGGGAGCUAACCGAAACAGUGAGCCACUUAUUUUAGUUGUAAAUAUGCAAUUCAAGUAUGGAAUUUGUGUAAUAAGUGGACUGGGAUAACCUCUGUUUCACAUAAUCAGGCAGAAAAGCACUUCAACCAUUUUUUUGUACUUUACAGCUUAACACCAAAGGUAACACAGUGUGGAAGUGCAUGUGGAUAGCAAUCAUAGAGGUAUAUGGAAUAUGAGAAACAGAAUUAUCUUAAAAAUGCAAGAGUGGAUGGGGAAGAAAUUUUUAAGUUGCCACAAAUUAAAGUGUGGGCAUGGGUGAUGUAUAGGUUCAAGAAGGCAACUUUUUCCUUUUCAGAUUGGAUUUUGUGCCCUUUAAUAUGCAUCAAGUAUAUUCAAUAAUCCUACAGUGGUAACUGUGUGCAGGUGAAUUUGAAAGACAAUAAUGCUUAAGGGUGUAAUAUAAUAUGGCUAUAGGUGGAGCCUUAAGAUCAUGACAAAAUAGGUGCACACACCUUGGUGGGAAGCAAAGGACCUUAGAGUGAACAUUAUGUAUAAGAGACGACCAUAGGUUCCCUGUGCAACAAUCUAAAUCAUGAGAUGGGUAGUUAAACAUAGCACAUUUGUAAACUUUUGGGGAUGACCAAACACCCUUAAGGGCAGGGGACUAUAUCUUCCAGUGGUUUGUUUUUUUAUUCUAGUAGUUGUGUUUUGCAGGUUAAGAAAAUCCACUAGGUCAUAGUGCAGUACCUUUGAUGCUAAGGAGAAAAAUAUCAAGAGCAGGUUGGGAAUACUCUGGAAAAGCUGCUAGAUAGGGGAGGUAACGUCUCCCAAGGGAACAGAGAAGAUAAUUGUAAGUGGGUUAGAGUACCUGCCAUUAUUGCCCCAUUUUGUAUUCUGUGAUCUUAAGAUGAUGCAAAGACAAGCAAUUGCCCUACUUUAUGUAUGGGGUAAAAUUGAGAAAGGAAAAUGGAAUAAAAAGUUAGGUUUUUCCCAAUGAAGAUUUUUAAGUGGGCGAAAUCACAUGGUGAUGGAUGGGAUGAAGUAAUUUCUACCUUUUCUUUUCUUUCUUUUCUAUUGUUUGUUUAACAAUUCAAACAACCAAAAUAAACAAUCUCAUCCUCUUACAAAAUGGAAACUGUGUUCCUAGAAUCCAUUUAUAGAUAAAAGAAACCUUACAUCAAAUACAUAUUAAAUUUCUAUAACAGGAGAUCUUAUCCAUUGAAAUGAAUGGGAACAACACAACAUAAUUUUAAGUCCAUUAUAACUGACUUGGCUAGGCCAAAAUCCGCUUGUGUAAAAACUUAAAAACCUUUCACAUCCGUUCUAAAGAAAUUGAUGCUUCUCCUCGGCCCUAUAAAAAUACUAAUAUCUCCGCCCCUUCCCUGCCUUGCCCAGAUUGCGAAGCACUUGGUUUUUUUAUGCUGUGGAACUUAUCAGAUUGCAAAGCACUUGGUUUUCUUAGGCUGUGGAACUUAUGAGAAUAUAUAGUGAUGUAUACCAUUCGAUGGCAGGGAGAAGUAAACAUUGUAAUAGAUAAGUAGAAAGACGUAGCAUUUGAAUUUGUUAUCAUUACUCAAAAAUUUGGUAGUAAUAGUUACAAGUUCGAGAAGAUGCCUAUUGUACAAAAUGUCUCUAAUAAUCUAUGUCAGUCUCCUAAAGUGAGAUCUAUUGUUCCUUGAAGAAAGAAAUUGUAUAUUGGAAGACAUCUUCACUGCAAGGAAUUGUGAUGCCACCCAUGGGAUGAUCAUAUCCAAACUCUUCCUCUGCUCGACUCAGUAAGUCUUGGAAUGAAGGUUGGUUCAAGUAUGAGAUGGGAAUCACAAACCGAUUUUGUUUCUCUCCAACGUACACGGCAAAAUAGCCCUUUGGUAUGUCUUCAGAUUUUGAAGUUGCUUGUCUUGCUGUGAAUGAUGCCCGUCGGAUGGCAGGUAAACGGAAACCCAUUUUUGGAGUUUGUUUGAAGGAAGAAGAACAAUCUCAAAUUUACAGAGAGUGAACCCAAAUUUUGAUGCUUGUGGCUUGUUUUGUUUUUGAAGGUAUAGGAUUGUGUAUAUAUAGCUGUUAAAAGAAGGAGGGCAUACAGAUGAGAUAUCGCGUGGUGUUGUCUUCAGUACUUCUAUGAAGCAGAAUGAAGGGUACAGGUGUG